CUGUCUAUGCGUUUUACGCCGGACCUGGUUCCGUCUUUAAUAUUCUAUUGGAAUAUCCUGUAUGUACGUUUUACGCCGGACCUAGUUCCGUCUUUAUUAUUCUGUUGGAAUAUCCUGUCUGUGCGUUUUACGCCGAACCUAGUUCCGUUAUUUAUUAUUCUGUUAGAGUAACCUGCUUGUGCGGUCUAUCGCAGGCUUGGUGAUUUUUUUUGUUAUUCUAUUCUUUGUUAUAUUCAGUUGGUUAAAGUUUUGACUUCUAUACUCUAUGAAAUUAGUGAAAUAUCCUUGAUAUUUGCACUUCAUCCAAUAUCUUUUCAUGGAAAUAUUCUUCUGAGCAUUCUUGAAUUUUUC
This 351-nucleotide long non-coding RNA is filed under the name Panax ginseng (ginseng). Its description in RNAcentral is "long non-coding RNA (PGIN_LNC002566)". Lineage: Eukaryota; Viridiplantae; Streptophyta; Magnoliopsida; Apiales; Araliaceae. The record is from RNAcentral.